Molecule: ribosomal RNA, 448 nt
Filed under: uncultured organism
Description: partial 16S ribosomal RNA
Rfam family: Bacterial small subunit ribosomal RNA
Source: RNAcentral
ACACUCCUGCGGGAGGCAGCAGUGGGGAAUAUUGGACAAUGGGCGCAAGCCUGAUCCAGCCAUGCCGCGUGAGUGAUGAAGGCCCUAGGGUUGUAAAGCUCUUUCACCGGUGAAGAUAAUGACGGUAACCGGAGAAGAAGCCCCGGCUAACUUCGUGCCAGCAGCCGCGGUAAUGCGAAGGGGGCUAGCGUUGUUCGGAUUUACUGGGCGUAAAGCGCACGUAGGCGGACUAUUAAGUCAGGGGUGAAAUCCCGGGGCUCAACCCCGGAACUGCCUUUGAUACUGGUAGUCUUGAGUUCGAGAGAGGUGAGUGGAAUUCCGAGUGUAGAGGUGAAAUUCGUAGAUAUUCGGAGGAACACCAGUGGCGAAGGCGGCUCACUGGCUCGAUACUGACGCUGAGGUGCGAAAGCGUGGGGAGCAAACAGGAUUAGAAACCCCAGUAGUCCCA